Molecule: long non-coding RNA, 1585 nt
Filed under: Zostera marina
Lineage: Eukaryota; Viridiplantae; Streptophyta; Magnoliopsida; Alismatales; Zosteraceae
Description: long non-coding RNA (ZMAR_LNC001007)
Source: RNAcentral
AAAUGUCGAGGAGGUUCGGAAUCCUUCUGCUGAGCCAGAGUCUGUUCAGCCUGCUCCUGUCGUACCGGAGCCUCGAGCUGCGCCUUCCGUGCCUAUUGGAAGUAGGAAAAAAAUGCUUUCCCGUCGUACGCGCAAGCCCGUACCUCCUAGUAAGUUACUUAUUUCUUAUUUAUUUCGUAACUUGCUUUUUAUUUCUUUCUUUUUUGUUUGUAGGUGCUCCCCCUUCACCCCCCGUUCGGGGUCUUCCACAUCUACCUCGGGAAGCUCGGGUUCUUCUUCCUACUACUCUUCUUCCUCGGAGGAUGUAGAUAUUGGAGGAACCCCCCCCUCCGUUGUUAGGACUCCUCCUUCUACUAUCAUUUUGACAUCCAUUCCUGAGGAGACUUCUACUUCGGGGACUCUAUUUGUGACUAUGGAUAGUUCCGUUCAACUUCCUCCCGAAGUCUGUAGUCAAAACAUUCAUGUCCUUGAGAGUUCCCCUAAGGGUUACCCUUCCGAGACGAGGGACAAAUACCCUUUUCCUUCUCCCCUUGAAGAGAAGCACGCCCCAUCUUUCUAUCGGGAGAUUGAUGGUUCUUGGCGCCAGUGGUCCGUUCUUGUCCGUAACGGUUUCCACGUCGUCCCUAUCCUUGACCGGGGCGAAUAUGGAACCGGGUAUGGUUCCUUCUGUACAGUCUCUCUGACUGAUAUUCCGGGCUACCCCCUUUCUUCUAACGCGGGUAGCUGUUCUAACACCCUUUCUUUGGAUGCUGCCCGAAAAAUUUUGAGGGGGUUAGAGCUUAGGGAGAGAGUGUACUGGGCGUACCCCUCUGAGAACACUGGUGACGUGCCCCCCUACUUCAUGUUGGCACUCCAUCGAGUGUAUUUCACCAACUUUCCGAUCCUUCCGAUCCCUUCUAUCGUUAGUGAGAUACUUCUUUACUCUGGAACGUGCAUCUCUCAAAUGGGUGCUGCCUUCUUUUUCUAUGUCAGGGGGUUCAUAAAUAUCCUUCGGGAUGCUGGCAUAGUUCCUACCGCUCGGCUGUUCUUCCACUUCUUCACUUUUCAAAAUCCGAAGAAGGGCAGCCUUUUCAUUUCCUGUGCCAGCCGUUCUACUUCUGUUACUCACUCUGCUAUCUUGAAAGAUCCUCCGACCAGGCGGAACAAGAGUGAGUUCAUCUUCGUGGAUUGCAGGUUAUGUCCUGGCAGCAGACUUCUCCCUGCAUCCACUAGUGGCCGUAAGCCUAUUCCUCGUCCUGAUCUGACUGAGGAAGAGGGAGCUUCCGUGCAAAAGCUCGCCUUUUUGCAUCUCAUCGCUGUGCCUGUUUGUCACGCGAUUGAAGAUACCUUUAGCCGACAAGGUCUUCCUUUGUCUGUUUUCCUUUUGUGUUUUUAUACACGCGUAUGUUUUCUAACUCUGUUUUUGUUUCUUGCAGAUUUUUAUAUGCAUCACCCCGGAGGUGUCCCUGAACGCGUCGGACAAAACGAGACGGGUUCUAAAGUUUAUUCCGCUGCCUCCAAACCUUCUGACGCUGAUCAUCUGAGGCAGCGUGCGCUAGAGAACGCCUAUACAAUGGCGAAGUCCCCUACUCCUGAUGAGGCCCGA